UGGGGAAAAAUUAAAAAAUUAUAAAUAAUAAAAUAAAUUUUAAAAUUAAAAAAAAAUAAUGGGGGGUUAAAGUAUUUUUAAUAGAAAAAAUUUAAAAUUUUAUAAUGAAGUAGUAUUGUAAAAGAAAUUUGAAAUAAAUGAAAAAAGAGAAAUAAAAAAAAAGAAAAUUUAAUUUAUUGUAUCUUGUGUAUCAGAGUUUAUUAAAUAUAUUUUUUAUAAAAAAAAAUCUCGAAUUUAAAAGAGUUAAUUAAUUAAAAAAGUUAAUGUAGCAUAAUUAUUUUAAAUAAUUAAUUAGAAAUGAAAUGUUAAUCGUUUUUAAAUAUAUCUAGUUAUUUUAGAAAAAAAUUUAAUUUUUAAUUUAAAUAAUUUUAUAAUUUAUUAGUAAAAAUUAUGAAAAUUUAAAAUUAAAUAUAUUAAGGGAUAAGCUUUAAAUUAAAAAUUUAUAAUAAUUAAAAAUUUUAAUUAAAAUUUUUAAAAUUUAUAUUGUUUCAAAAUUAUAAUUUAUUAUAAAAAAUUUUAAUAAUAAAUAAAAUUUAACAAUUAAAAAUUUAAAUUUAUAUAAAAUAAUAAUUUUUAUUAAAAUAAAGUUAGAAAUUAUGAUAAAAUUAGUAUAAAUAAUUAAAAAAAAAUAAAUUAAAAAUUAAAUUAAAUAAAAGGAAUUCGGCAAAAAUUUAUAUUCACUUGUUUAUCAAAAACAUGUCUUUUUGAUAAUAAUUUAAAGUCUAAUCUGCCCACUGAUAAAUAUUAAAGGGCUGCAGUAUUAUGACUGUACAAAGGUAGCAUAAUCAUUAGUUUUUUAAUUGAAAACUUGUAUGAAAGAUUUGAUGAAAUAUAAACUGUCUCUUAUUUAUUAUUAGAAAUUUGUUUUUUAGUAAAAAAACUAAAAUGUAUUUAAAAGACGAGAAGACCCUAUAGAGUUUUAUAUUUAUAAUUUAUUUUAUUUUAUAUAAAAUUUAAUGUUAAAUUAAAUAUAAAUAUUAUAUUGGGGUGAUAGAAAAAUUUAAUUAACUUUUUUUAAAAAUUUAACAUUAAUAAAUGAUUAAAUGAUCCAUUAAUAAUAAUGAUUAUAAGAAAAAAUUACCUUAGGGAUAACAGCGUAAUAUUUUUUUUUAGUUCAAAUAAAAAAAAAAGUUUGCGACCUCGAUGUUGGAUUAAGAUAAAAUUUAAAUGCAAAAGUUUAAAAUUUUGAUCUGUUCGAUCAUUAAAAUCUUACAUGAUCUGAGUUCAAACCGGCGUAAGCCAGGUUGGUUUCUAUCUUUAGAAAAAUUAAAUAUUUUAGUACGAAAGGAUCAAAUAUUUAAAAUAAUUUUAAUAUAAGAAUUUUAAUAAUGAAUUAAUAA
Molecule: ribosomal RNA, 1340 nt
Filed under: Argestina inconstans
Lineage: Eukaryota; Metazoa; Arthropoda; Insecta; Lepidoptera; Nymphalidae
Description: 16S ribosomal RNA
Source: RNAcentral